CCUACGGGCGGCAGCAGUAGGGAAUCUUCCACAAUGGGCGAAAGCCUGAUGGAGCAACGCCGCGUGGGUGAAGAAGGUCUUCGGAUCGUAAAACCCUGUUGUUAGAGAAGAAAGUGCGUGAGAGUAACGGUUCACGUCUCGACGGUAUCUAACCAGAAAGCCACGGCUAACUACGUGCCAGCAGCCGCGGUAAUACGUAGGGGGCAAGCGUUAUCCGGAUUGAGUGGGCGUAAAGGGAACGCAGGCGGUCUUUUAAGUCUGAUGUGAAAGCCUUCGGCUUAACCGGAGUAGUGCAUUGGAAACUGGGAGACUUGAGUGCAGAAGAGGUGAGUGGAACUCCAUGUGUAGCGGUGAAAUGCGUAGAUAUAUGGAAGAACACCAGUGGCGAACGCGGCUCUCUGGUCUGUAACUGACGCUGAGGUUCGAAAGCGUGGGUAGCAAACAGGAUUAGAUACCCGUGUAGUC
This 465-nucleotide ribosomal RNA is filed under the name uncultured bacterium. Its description in RNAcentral is "partial 16S ribosomal RNA". It matches the Rfam family "Bacterial small subunit ribosomal RNA", at positions 338 to 795 of the family's 1533-position model. The record is from RNAcentral.